This is a long non-coding RNA of Lonchura striata (white-rumped munia), 669 nucleotides long. RefSeq lists it as uncharacterized. The record is from RefSeq and is a predicted model, not a curated record. Lineage: Eukaryota; Metazoa; Chordata; Aves; Passeriformes; Estrildidae.
AACGCGGGGGCCGCGCUCGCCCCGCCGGCCCCGGGAGGGACCCGCGGCCUUCGCGGCCCUUCCCGAGCGUGGCCCUCGCCCAGCUUGCGAAACGGGAUCGCUUCCCCUUUCCCGAGGGCGCCUUCCCCUUUUCUAAGAACGGCCCGGCCGCGGGGGAGCGGCGCUGCACGGCCCCGCUCCCACAGAGGGAUGUGCCCGCGGCGGGAGCGGCGCCGGCAUCCCCACGGCAGGGAGGGAGCGGGAACCGGAGACCUGGCAGGCAGAAGGACACAUCCUUUUGCAAAAACCAGCUGUGACUGGUACCACGCAGCAUCGGCCUCACACAGGAGCUGCGAGGGGAAACCAGGCAAAGGCAACCUGUGGGUUUGGCCACAUCAGCACCCCAAAACUUGGGCCUGGAGGUUGGACAGCACAGCCUCAAUGUCUGGAUUCAGCCUUCUCCAGGGAGCUUUGCUUCCCCUGUGGCACCCACUUGCUAGAGAGCCAAAUGGGCAGCACAGCAGGAAGCAGCACUAAACACAAGGGAACCCAGCAUAGAUUGGUUAUAAAACUCCCUGCCUUCAUUUUAUUGCCUUUGGUAAAGCUUGGUAAAUAUUUCUGGGACAGGCAACUCCUUGUCUGGCUUUAAUUACCUAGGCAAAUUUUCCUAAGGAUUAUAUUGACCUCAAA